Molecule: ribosomal RNA, 540 nt
Filed under: Aporcelaimellus sp. GSb27
Lineage: Eukaryota; Metazoa; Nematoda; Enoplea; Dorylaimida; Aporcelaimidae
Description: SSU rRNA
Rfam family: Eukaryotic small subunit ribosomal RNA
Source: RNAcentral
CAAAGUUUUUCGUUUCCGGGGGAAGUAUGGUUGCAAAGCUGAAACUUAAAGGAAUUGACGGAAGGGCACCACCAGGAGUGGAGCCUGCGGCUUAAUUUGACUCAACACGGGAAAACUCACCCGGCCCGGACACCGUAAGGAUUGACAGACUGAGAGCUCUUUCUUAAUUCGGUGGGUGGUGGUGCAUGGCCGUUCUUAGUUGGUGGAGCGAUUUGUCUGGUUAAUUCCGAUAACGAACGAGACUCUGGCCUAUUAAAUAGACGAUAUAUUUAAAAGUAUAUCGCGCUUCUUAGAGGGACAAGCGGCGUCUAGCCGCAUGAAAUAGAGCAAUAACAGGUCUGUGAUGCCCUUAGAUGUCCGGGGCUGCACGCGCGCUACACUGAAAGAAUCAGUGUGCGUUACGCCUAGUUCGGAAGAACCGGGUAACCCAAGUAAAUUCUUUCGUGCUUGGGAUAGGGAAUUGCAAUUAUUUCCCUUAAACGAGGAAUUCCCAGUAAAUGCGGGUCAUAAGCUCGCGUUGAUUACGUCCCUGCCCCUUUG